RNAcentral lists this unclassified non-coding RNA (352 nucleotides) under soil metagenome. RNAcentral describes it as "partial contains 5.8S ribosomal RNA, internal transcribed spacer 2, and large subunit ribosomal RNA". The stretch from base 1 to 120 matches the Rfam family "5.8S ribosomal RNA", at positions 35 to 154 of the family's 154-position model. The record is from RNAcentral.
GAUGAAGAACGUAGCGAAAUGCGAUAAGUAAUGUGAAUUGCAGAAUUCAGUGAAUCAUCGAAUCUUCGAACGCACAUUGCGCCCGCCAGUAUUCUGGCGGGCAUGCCUGUUCGAGCGUCAUUACAACCCUCAGGCCCCCGGGCCUGGCGUUGGGGAUCGGCGGAGCCCCCCGUGGGCACACGCCGUCCCCCAAAUGCAGUGGCGGUCCCGCCGCAGCUUCCAUCGCGUAGUAGCUAACACCUCGCGACUGGAGAGCGGCGCGGCCACGCCGUAAAACACCCAACUCUUCUGAAGUUGACCUCGAAUCAGGUAGGAAUACCCGCUGAACUUAAGAAUAUCAAUAAGCGGAGGA